This 457-nucleotide ribosomal RNA is filed under the name Gemella haemolysans. RNAcentral describes it as "bacterial SSU rRNA". It matches the Rfam family "Bacterial small subunit ribosomal RNA", at positions 28 to 472 of the family's 1533-position model. RNAcentral also lists the same sequence under 2 other names. Lineage: Bacteria; Bacillati; Bacillota; Bacilli; Caryophanales; Gemellaceae. The record is from RNAcentral.
GACGAACGCUGGCGGCGUGCCUAAUACAUGCAAGUCGAGCGAAGUUUUUCUGGUGCUUGCACCGGAAAAACUUAGCGGCGAACGGGUGAGUAACACGUAAAGAACCUGCCUCAUAGACUGGGACAACUAUUGGAAACGAUAGCUAAUACCGGAUAACAGCAUUAACUGCAUGGUUGAUGUUUAAAAGUUGGUUUUGCUAACACUAUGAGAUGGCUUUGCGGUGCAUUAGCUAGUUGGUGGGGUAAAGGCCUACCAAGGCGACGAUGCAUAGCCGACCUGAGAGGGUGAUCGGCCACACUGGGACUGAGACACGGCCCAGACUCCUACGGGAGGCAGCAGUAGGGAAUCUUCCGCAAUGGGCGAAAGCCUGACGGAGCAACGCCGCGUGAGUGAAGAAGGAUUUCGGUUCGUAAAGCUCUGUUGUUAGGGAAGAAUGAUUGCGUAGUAACUAUACACA